Molecule: ribosomal RNA, 53 nt
Filed under: Solicoccozyma terricola
Lineage: Eukaryota; Fungi; Basidiomycota; Tremellomycetes; Filobasidiales; Piskurozymaceae
Also listed under: 1 other name
Description: partial 26S ribosomal RNA
Source: RNAcentral
UCUGGCCUCAAAUCAGGUAGGACUACCCGCUGAACUUAAGCAUAUCAAUAAGC